RNAcentral lists this long non-coding RNA (701 nucleotides) under Zonotrichia albicollis (white-throated sparrow). RNAcentral describes it as "lncRNA (ENSZALG00000011871.1)". The record is from RNAcentral. Lineage: Eukaryota; Metazoa; Chordata; Aves; Passeriformes; Passerellidae.
AGAGACAACAAAUGGCCCAGCUGAUACUUGCUGCUGAAUUUCUUCAGGUUAAACUCAGCUACCAGAUGGUGCUGGAAUCAAGAUCAAAAUGAAAAAAGCACAUUUGCAAGGGGCACUCCAUUGCAACCCUGGCAGUGCUGAGGGUUAUGAAGAUCCCUGUGUUGGCACAAGGUGACCUCCCAAACAGGCCACGUGCUGCUGUGCAGCCUUGCAGAUCUCCAUGUGAACUCCAAGGACACUCAGGAUCCUCCUGCUUGAAGAAUGAUGUUACUACUAAACUGCAAACAUUUCAAGACAAAGACACACCAAAUUCUACCAUAACCUUAAUCUGGGUUGGAAACCAUGCAACACUGAAGACCUGACUAUGUCUGAUGAGAAUCAGCAGGGGAGUGUAAGGGAAGCAUUCGACUUUAGUGCUGAGAAACAGCUCCAGUCCCUAAAACAAAGUGAAAGAAGAGUGGUUACAUAAACCCACAAGAAACCUGUAUGCACUUCUGUGUUUGACUAAACACUAAAAGAGCAGAGGUAUACUUACUGCUUGCUGUAAAAUUCACCUAAACCUGAAGAUUAAACCUGUAUUAAAACCCACAUUAAAAAGCUUAGAAUUUUGUGUACAUAUAUAAGAUAUGCAAUAUUCUGAUUUAGCGUUACUCUUUUGAAAUAUAAUAAUAAAACAUUGACCUAUGAAAGACUGUAAUACA